GCGGCAAGACAGGAUGGUGAUUCGUCGCGGAUGGGCAGAGUAGAGAGGAGGAGAUCGGAUGAACGGCUGGACGGAGCUGGACAGGCAGGUCGUCCUUCCGCGACUUAGCUUGCUGACUGCGGGUUGUUGAUGUUUUCCUUCCUUUUCCGAAGGAUCCUGUCCCGUUCUCGUUCUGUUCCUGUUCGGCAUCUCCGCAAAGAAAGAGGAGGAGCUGCAGUUUGCUGAGAUUGAUAUAGACUAUACUUGUUUCUGAUUGGUUGUUUCUUAUUGUUUGUUGUUAACUCCUUUGCUGCUGGAGAUAAUCAGUAAAGAAGGUUAUGCAAAA
Molecule: long non-coding RNA, 325 nt
Organism: Spea bombifrons (plains spadefoot toad)
Lineage: Eukaryota; Metazoa; Chordata; Amphibia; Anura; Pelobatidae
Exons: 2
Source: RefSeq, a predicted model, not a curated record